ACGAGCUGAGGCCUUUGGGUCACCUCCCACCCGUGUUUAUUUUACCUUGUUGCUUCGGCGGGCCCGCCUUUACUGGCCGCCGGGGGGCUCACGCCCCCGGGCCCGCGCCCGCCGAAGACACCCCCGAACUCUGUCUGAAGAUUGAAGUCUGAGUGAAAAUAUAAAUUAUUUAAAACUUUCAACAACGGAUCUCUUGGUUCCGGCAUCGAUGAAGAACGCAGCGAAAUGCGAUACGUAAUGUGAAUUGCAAAUUCAGUGAAUCAUCGAGUCUUUGAACGCACAUUGCGCCCCCUGGUAUUCCGGGGGGCAUGCCUGUCCGAGCGUCAUUGCUGCCCUCAAGCCCGGCUUGUGUGUUGGGCCCCGUCCUCCGAUUCCGGGGGACGGGCCCGAAAGGCAGCGGCGGCACCGCGUCCGGUCCUCGAGCGUAUGGGGCUUUGUCACCCGCUCUGUAGGCCCGGCCGGCGCUUGCCGAUCAACCCAAAUUUUUAUCCAGGUUGACCUCGGAUCAGGUAGGGAUACCCGCUGAACUUAAGCAUAUCAA
This 541-nucleotide ribosomal RNA is filed under the name Penicillium sp. PX-2011a. RNAcentral's name for it is "eukaryotic LSU rRNA". The stretch from base 174 to 326 matches the Rfam family "5.8S ribosomal RNA". The record is from RNAcentral. Lineage: Eukaryota; Fungi; Ascomycota; Eurotiomycetes; Eurotiales; Aspergillaceae.